UACAGAGGGUGCAAGCGUUGUCCGGAUUUAUUGGGUUUAAAGGGUGCGUAGGUGGCCUGGUAAGUCAGUGGUGAAAUACAGCCGCUCAACGGUUGAGGUGCCAUUGAUACUGCCCGGCUUGAAGCAGACAGAGGCUGCCGGAAUGGAUGGUGUAGCGGUGAAAUGCAUAGAUAUCAUCCAGAACACCGAUUGCGAAGGCAGGUGGCUAUGUCUGACUUGACACUGAGGCACGAAAGCAUGGGGAGCAAACAGG
Molecule: ribosomal RNA, 253 nt
Filed under: uncultured bacterium
Lineage: Bacteria
Description: partial 16S ribosomal RNA
Rfam family: Bacterial small subunit ribosomal RNA
Source: RNAcentral